This is a long non-coding RNA of Oncorhynchus keta (chum salmon), 1375 nucleotides long. RefSeq lists it as uncharacterized. The record is from RefSeq and is a predicted model, not a curated record. Lineage: Eukaryota; Metazoa; Chordata; Actinopteri; Salmoniformes; Salmonidae. The transcript has 5 exons.
AAAACAGUAUGUAAACACGAUUAAUUAAAGCAACCCGUGUUCAAUGAUGAUCUACAUAGGGCAGCAGUCUCUAAGGUGCAUGGUUGAGUACCGGGUGGUAGCCAGCUAGUAACAGUGACUAAGUUCAGGGCAAGGUAUUGGGCGGAGGCCAGCUAGUAACAGUGACUAAGUUCAGGGCAAGGUAUUGGGCGGAGGCCAGCUAGUAACAGUGACUAAGUUCAGGGCAAGGUAUUGGGCGGAGGCCAGCUAGUAACAGUGACUAAGUUCAGGGCAAGGUAUUGGGCGGAGGCCAGCUAGUAACAGUGACUAAGUUCAGGGCAAGGUAUUGGGCGGAGGCCAGCUAGUAACAGUGACUAAGUUCAGGGCAAGGUAUUGGGCGGAGGCCAGCUAGUAACAGUGACUAAGUUCAGGGCAAGGUAUUGGGCGGAGGCCAGCUAGUAACAGUGACUAAGUUCAGGGCAAGGUAUUGGGCGGAGGCCAGCUAGUAACAGUGACUAAGUUCAGGGCAAGGUAUUGGGCGGAGGCCAGCUAGUAACAGUGACUAAGUUCAGGGCAAGGUAUUGGGCGGAGGCCAGCUAGUAACAGUGACUAAGUUCAGGGCAAGGUAUUGGGCGGAGGCCAGCUAGUAACAGUGACUAAGUUCAGGGCAAGGUAUUGGGCGGAGGCCAGCUAGUAACAGUGACUAAGUUCAGGGCAAGGUAUUGGGCGGAGGCCAGCUAGUAACAGUGACUAAGUUCAGGGCAAGGUAUUGGGCGGAGGCCAGCUAGUAACAGUGACUAAGUUCAGGGCAAGGUAUUGGGCGGAGGCCAGCUAGUAACAGUGACUAAGUUCAGGGCAAGGUAUUGGGCGGAGGCCAGCUAGUAACAGUGACUAAGUUCAGGGCAAGGUAUUGGGCGGAGGCCAGCUAGUAACAGUGACUAAGUUCAGGGCAAGGUAUUGGGCGGAGGCCAGCUAGUAACAGUGACUAAGUUCAGGGCAAGGUAUUGGGCGGAGGCCAGCUAGUAACAGUGACUAAGUUCAUGGCAAGGUAUUGGGCGGAGGCCAGCUAGUAACAGUGACUAAGUUCAGGGCAAGUUAUUGGGCGGAGGCCAGCUAGUAACAGUGACUAAGUUCAGGGCAAGGUAUUGGACGGAGGCCAGCUAGUGGUGACUAUUUAACAGUCUGAUGGCUUGGAGAUAGAAGCCGUUUUCCGUCUCUCGGUCCUAGCUUUGAAGCACCUGUACUGUUUCCGCCUUCUAGAUGGUAGCGGGGAGAACAAGCCACGGCCUGGGUGUCUGAGGCCCUUGUUGAUCUUCUUGGCCUUCCUGUGACACCGGGUGCUGUAGAUGUCCUGCAGGGCUGGCUAUGUGGCCCUGUUGUUGUGGAUGGGGCGGUG